CGCCCGCCGCCACAGAGGCGUCCGUAUCCAGGACGAAGUCUUCCCGACCCAGCUCGAAGUUGCGCGGGCAUUCUUCAGCUACGGCGACCCUGCUGCCCCGGGGAAGCGGCAGCACCAGCAGACAGGCUAGCAGGGCGAAGAUCUCUGUCAUGAGCCAAGUUGAAGAUCCUCUUCCCUCCGUGAUUGAAGCACCAGGAACUUCCACUUAACAAUUUUUUGGCAGAAUGGCACCUGGUCUUGGGGUUCCACAAUCAACCGUUGUUGUUUGUCAUGCCAAAGGCUCAGCCUAAGAGACCGGCUCGGAUUCGGAAGCCUAGGAUCUUGGGGCUCUGUAGGUGGGCUGAUCAAGGGUUGGUGUCAUGACAGGAGACAUGAGUGUCAACAGGAGUGACUGUGCGGCUGGAGAUCUUUGCAAUCUUCAGGCACAGAGCUCAAAAAAAGCGAUGUAACGGACUUUUAACAUCGUAAAUCAGCGAAUUGUUUGUUAUGUCUCGCCGCUCACUGGGAAAAUGGAGACACCUCUUCCUCCCUUAUUAGGGACAGAGACAGAACAAAGUAUGUCGAAUACCGGGUGAAAUGCAAAGUCUUUGGGGUAACUGCAAGUCUGUGUCUUUGCUGUUGCUUUGCUCACGCUUGAGUUCUUGGUGGUGGUGCUGAUGCCUUUUUU
This is a long non-coding RNA of Hypanus sabinus (Atlantic stingray), 667 nucleotides long. RefSeq lists it as uncharacterized. The transcript has 3 exons. Lineage: Eukaryota; Metazoa; Chordata; Chondrichthyes; Myliobatiformes; Dasyatidae. The record is from RefSeq and is a predicted model, not a curated record.